Numida meleagris (helmeted guineafowl) is the source of this 4887-nucleotide long non-coding RNA. RefSeq lists it as uncharacterized. The record is from RefSeq and is a predicted model, not a curated record. The transcript has 3 exons. Lineage: Eukaryota; Metazoa; Chordata; Aves; Galliformes; Numididae.
UGAACUCCCAGAGAAGACAUGCGCCUGUGGUAAGAGCUGUGUGUCUGUCACCCUGUGCCUUCUCUUCAAACCCUUUAAAAAAAUAAGAAGAUAUAUUCUGCUCCAGGACACCUACAAGCAUCCUGAGAAGAGUUCCUGAGGGGAGGAAGGGGAAGCAGAGGCUGACUUUGUGCUCUAUAGACAGCAUGACCCAAGCUCUGUGGGACACUAGGGAGGACCAGGUGAGGUGCUCACCCACCAGAAACUAUCAGCAGAAGCUCCUACAUUCUUCAUGGGCACCAGCAGCACCAGUCCUGCUUCCUACAAGAGCAGAUAUCAUUAACAAGCUAGGGAAGCUGAGCUCACGUAAGGAGAUAAUGACUGAGCAGGGACACAGGGAGCACAGCGAGCCAGGCCCUCAUCAUUGAACACAUUCAAACUGUGAGUGGUUUUCCACAGCAGAAAAGGAGCAGGGAGGGUGAGGGCUCACCCUGCGCUGGAGACGUCUGCACUGUGGUGACCACUGCUAUCUCUCGGCCUCCAUCACUGGGACAGGCACCUGCCGGCUUGAAGCACCUGUCAUUCUUCACAGUGGGACUCUCCCUUUUUUAAUGACUAUGUUAAUGACCCUAAUCUGCUAGUGUGGAUGUGGUUAAUGCCACAGACAGGAGAGUUCACAAACUGUUCCUGUUCCGCCUCCUCAUGUGUCACUUUGCAUCCUAACCUAACUGUCCCCUGCCCAGCACUGUGACCAUCUGGUUCCACUGUGCAAAGGACAGGCAGCAGGCUCCAGCCCUUUUGGCACCGCAAUAUCCAAGGCACGGUAGUAACAAGUCAGGCCGGGACCCAUCAGCCCUUAGGGGGGUGACACAGGAGGUGCCAUCCUGAAACGAGACACACACUUGGGGUGAAACCUCUGCUGCGUGUGUGGGGCCCCACGGCAGCCUAGCGGGAGUUAUUUUUCCAGGAGCAGACUGUUGACUUUUGGAAGCCAAAGGGAUCCCAGCAUCAGAGCAGGAGGAGGGUUGCGUUUCAUAGAUAAGUCACGGUGUAUUAAAUGUAAAUGAAUCUGCAGCUUGAUGGACAAAUCAGAUCAGGGUGGGAAACCCAGCUCGCGGCGGGGGAUGGAUUUGUAAUGGGUAGUGAUGCACUCAUGCACCAAUGGGAAUGAAUGGCCAGAGAGGGAGGCAGCAAGGGCUGCGCUGCCUGCAGCACUGCAAGAAAGAGACGUCGUGGGCUCUGAGAAGGGAGGUCAGGCUGGAUAAACAGUGGCCCUGUCCACAUCAGAGAAUCACUGAGGCAUGAAGAAAAACUUUAACAGCUGCAAUGCUGCUUUUGAACCUCCUAGUAAAAGGGGGGUCAGGAGGUCAAAACUUUCAAUGCCUCUGGGAAGGAGGGAACUUUUCCCGGCAAGGCUUUGAAAGCCCCUUGCUAAAUUAGCAUGACCACACUGCUAAAUGCUUGGGAAACCCGGACUGCUCGGGUCGCAGGCUCCCCCAGAAGUGGGGAGGCAAAGAGCUGCUGCAUUCCCAUGCUCAACAACAUAAUUAAUGGGGCAAUUUCCUAGGCGAAAGCAGAUAUUGAGAAUCCUAUCCAGCACCUGGAUGGGAAAUGAAAGCCCAUUGGAUGUGCUCUGUGCAUCGUUUCUCCUCCACCUUACCUCCUGACACCACUGCCCUUUCUCCUUUCUGUUUCUAUCUCCUGUUUACUGUCUCUUCCUUUCUACUCACCAUCUUCUUGGCCUUCUCCUCCUCUUUUGUUCCCGGUGUCAUGCAACUCAGCUCACUGUUGCAGCAACGAGCUCUGAUAUGUGGGGACACGGGUAGGAGAUGAUGGCACAAGCCAGAGUACUGCUCACCCUCAGCUGUACCUAGGGACUGUACCCCACAGCUGGAUGGCAAAUCAGGAGCUGCUGUCUACCAGCCUCACUUCUUUCUAUUUUUGUUGCUUUUGUGAGACCACUGUUCCACAUUCUGAGCUAUUUGCUUCCACUUUGAAUGUAGGUUUUACUAGUAAAUUUUCCAAGAGCUAGACGGCAAACAACGCAUGUUUCUCCUGGAUGGCACUAGGAGGGACCCUGAGAUUUCUGGCUGUUAUCCCACCUCCAGCUUUUUCUCAGCACUGCCUCUGCACUCAGCUCCCAUUCACCUGUGCUGUGGGUUUCCUGGGCACCAAUUUUUCCAAAAUCAUUUGCAGAUCAUUCCCUUCACUGCUCCCACUGCUGCAGGUGUGGAAAGCAGAUAGUCACACACAGACACAGCAGCUGCUGUUAUUGCUUUUGGAAACGUGCUGUAUGUCUACAAGGUGCAAUCCAAACAUGUUAGAAAAACAGUGUAGCCCUUCAGCCAUAAAUGUCGCUGUCUGGAGCUGCAAUCCUGCAGGCUGCUGUUGGGCAUCCUUAUUCCUAUUGCAAUUGCAGAAGGCAGGAGCUCAGCAGCUUUUCCAGGAUGGCUGCAAAAGCAGAAUGAGUACUCCAUUGAAUGAAGCAGGCUGGGAGAUGUAUCACGUUGCAAAUGGCUUGCUCUUAAAGGAGAAUGGCCAGCUUUCUGGAGGGAGCCUGGAGCUGUCCUGGCAGUCCUGACCCAAGCCAAGCAGGGCUGAGGUGGGAAGAGCAGGAUGUGGUUCGUGAUGCACUGCAAAGCUCUGCAGUUCCAAGCCCCUUUUCAGCUCCGCUGUGAUGCUGCGGUAUCUUUAUUUUUCAUUCCUCUUGUUGUCCUAGAAACAGAGCAAAUAAUUCUUCCAGGCAGGCCCUUUUGUUACACUCAAGGCAGCAUCUUGUCUCUCAGAAAAAAAAAAAAAAAAAAAUGCACCAUUACAUAAUAAAAUCCUUGGGAGAAAAAUAACAGCGGGUUCAAAGCCUUCUAAAGAAACCUGAAAAAACUUCAUCACACUCCAAACUUUCCUGAUAUCCUAGGAGUGCUCCAUCUCUGAAAGGACCAGUGGGCAAUUCACAGGAUGAGCAACAUGAGGGAAAAUGGGAAGUGGCUGGGGGGAUUUGUGUUCAGUCCUGGCCCUGCAAAUCCCACUACUCAUUCAUCCUUCUCUCCCUAAAGCAGGAAGCAGAAAAGCAGCGUUCUUUCUUUUGCACUGAGACAUCACUGCAUUUUCGGUCAGUUCUCGUGAGCUUCGAGCCUUUCAGGCUGGUAAAAAUGCCACAAACAUCUGCAAAGGUUUCCGUAGGAGGGCACAGCCUGCCCCAAAGCACAAUCAACCCCAGAGCACAAGGUACCCUAGCUGCAUUUCCCACACAUGCCCUGCCUGCCUGUAGGAUGGCCUGUCACACAAUUACAGGCCAUGGUUUAUUUAUGGCCACAUCCACGGUCACUGUCCUCCCUUCAGCUUUAAGUUACAGCUUUCAAGUUGAGGGGGCUCUGCUGAAAGAACAAGUUAGUGUGCCACAUGGUAUUGGCCCUUUGCAGGAAAAACUGUUCCCUUACAGAAAAGCCAGAGCUCCCCUGGAAUUGCUGGGAUUUCGAGGGAGGUGUAUUUACCUGAGAAAGAAGGCCUUUUGCUGGGGAAAUGUGCCCUUCUGCAGGCUGAGCCAGAUACAUCUGUAUUUAUGUGAUUGGUUUUGUUGUACUGAACAUAUUCUGUUCAUUAGGAAACCUUCGUGCAAGGAGACUUCUGGCUGCACUCCUGAGCACAUCAGCCCAACAGCAUCAUUUUCUUUGGGGAAACUCGGAUAGAGUUACCACCUCUUCUGCAACAGGAAAGCUGUCAGAGAGACCAAGGGACUGCUCGAUUACAAUGCAGCUGCUCAAGAUGCUGAGAUAGCUCUGCAGUUCUCCUGAAGGCAUCAUGGCUGCUCAGCGUACAAUGAGCACACAACUUUCCGAAACCUUAAAGUGCAUCUUUUCUACACAUCCUGCUGCAUGUCUCAGCAGCAAUUCACGAGGCAGUGGCUUCUGGUGCCAUAAAGACCCAUGAGAUUUUGGCUUCCAGCGGGGCUAAGUAGCUUGGAGAGGCCAUUUUCUCAGAUGUGCAGUGAGAUCUCACUGCUGGUGUCUAAUCAUGUCUGCUCACAGCAAUGGCUUCAGGAAUAAAUGGGGAUGGGGUCACUGUCAGGGGUUCCAGGGUCUCUCUAGUCCAUGAGGAGCUGGAAGAGCUCAGCAGCAUGGGACUGAGGCCUGGAUGCUUUUAUCUAUGCCCUCUGGAUGCCUUGAGGGGCAGAGAGGAAACACGGAUGGGGGACUGCGGUGUCAUUUCAACUUGGAAGUGCAGUAUGAGAGGUUUGUUUGUUUUUCCCAGCCAUAGCUUUGCCUUUCCAGAGAUUUUCAAUCUCUUUACCAGGUGCUGAAGGUAAAAAGAUUUAAAACUCUGAAUCUUUUUAUUACAAGACAGGGAAAGGCAAUCGUCCUAAUUCAUGGCAAAUGAACCUCUUCUCAGCUUGUGUCUGAUAAGGAUCUGGAAAGAGUAUCCAAGCUAAAAAAUAAGAUAUAUAUCUCCCGAGUACAGCUUUUGCUGUUUUCCUAUAUGAAUCCUUGUUUCUUCUGCACUGCGAGCUCUCCAGGGCAUGGCCGGUGUUACAGAGUGCCAGCUGCAUUAUCUGAUGGUAGGAGAUAAUUCUUAUGAGGAAUAUGUCAGAACAACAGAAAACUUCAUUUAAAAGAAAAAAAAAAAAACAAUUAAAGCUGCCGAGUGACAACCGCAUACUUAUGUAUUGCAUCACAUACUAGUCCUAGCAGCUUGAGUGCAGAGAGCUGAGCAGUGCAGGAUGUCCUAAGCCUGGUCAGACCCACAUGAGAUGUGGGUUAUUCCAGCAAGUGUAGGGCAGCACUCAUCGCACCACAGCAGCAGGAUGGGAGGUAAUGGCCGUAAGUUGCACCAGGGGAGGUUCAGGUUGGAUAUGUGGAAAAAUUUCUUCUCUGAAAUAGUGGCAAGGCACUGGCACAGGCUGCCCAGGGAGGU